CUGGGUAGUGACUUUGUUCAACGACUUGUAGUCGAUACAAAGUCCUAGGGAUCCAUCCUUCAUCCUCCUAACAACACUGGAACACCCCAAGGUGAAGUGCUCAGUCAGAUGGGAACCCUUAACUACCAACUCUUACCACUGAUCCUUAUAACUCCUUUAACUCUGUUGAUACCAUCCUGUGGGGAGGGAUAGAGAUUGGUCCAAUUUCAUGAAUUACUUCUAUUUUAAGCUC
This 232-nucleotide long non-coding RNA is filed under the name Manihot esculenta (cassava). Its description in RNAcentral is "long non-coding RNA (MESC_LNC007029)". Lineage: Eukaryota; Viridiplantae; Streptophyta; Magnoliopsida; Malpighiales; Euphorbiaceae. The record is from RNAcentral.